RNAcentral lists this ribosomal RNA (522 nucleotides) under uncultured bacterium. RNAcentral's name for it is "bacterial SSU rRNA". It matches the Rfam family "Bacterial small subunit ribosomal RNA", at positions 733 to 1271 of the family's 1533-position model. The record is from RNAcentral.
GGCUGAAUUGACACUGAGACGCGAAAGCGUGGGUAGCGAACGGGAUUAGAAACCCCGGUAGUCCACGCCGUAAACGAUGCACACUAGAUGUCCGUAGCGGAAGCUAUGGGUGUCGAAGCUAACGCGAUAAGUGUGCCGCCUGGGGAGUACGGUCGCAAGGCUAAAACUCAAAGGAAUUGACGGGGGCCCGCACAAGCAGCGGAGCGUGUGGUUUAAUUCGAGGCUACGCGAAGAACCUUACCUAGGCUUGAUAUAAGUAGUACGGAAGCGAAAGCAGAAGGACCCUUCGGGGAGCUUAUACAGGUGCUGCAUGGUUGUCGUCAGCUCGUGCCGUGAGGUGUUCGGUUAAGUCCGCAAACGAGCGCAACCCACGUCGUUAGUUACAAGUGUCUAACAAGACAGCCCGUGACAAACGGGAGGAAGGUGGGGAUGACGUCAAGUCAGCAUGGCCUUUAUAUCCUGGGCUACACACACGCUACAAUGGCCAGUACAAUGGGUCGCUAAGUCGUAAGACGGAGCCAA